This 279-nucleotide ribosomal RNA is filed under the name uncultured bacterium. Its description in RNAcentral is "partial 16S ribosomal RNA". It matches the Rfam family "Bacterial small subunit ribosomal RNA", at positions 506 to 784 of the family's 1533-position model. The record is from RNAcentral.
UGCCAGCCGCCGCGGUAAUACGGAGGGAGCAAACGUUGUUCGGAUUUACUGGGUGUAAAGGGUGCGUAGGCGGCGAAGUGUGUCAGAGGUGAAAGCUCACGGCUCAACCGUGGAAUUGCCUUUGAAACUGCUUCGCUUGAGUCCGAGAGAGGAUGAUGGAAUUCCUGGUGUAACGGUGAAAUGUGCAGAUAUCAGGAAGAACACCAGUGGCGAAGGCGGUCAUCUGGCUCGGUACUGACGCUGAGGCACGAAAGCGUGGGGAGCAAACAGGAUUAGAUA